AGCCUGAUGCAGCGACGCCGCGUGAGGGAUGAAGGCCUUCGGGUUGUAAACCUCUUUCAGCAGGGAAGAAGCGCAAGUGACGGUACCUGCAGAAGAAGCGCCGGCUAACUACGUGCCAGCAGCCGCGGUAAUACGUAGGGCGCAAGCGUUGUCCGGAAUUAUUGGGCGUAAAGAGCUCGUAGGCGGUUUGUCGCGUCUGGUGUGAAAACUCGAGGCUCAACCUCGAGCUUGCAUCGGGUACGGGCAGACUAGAGUGCGGUAGGGGAGACUGGAAUUCCUGGUGUAGCGGUGGAAUGCGCAGAUAUCAGGAGGAACACCGAUGGCGAAGGCAGGUCUCUGGGCCGCAACUGACGCUGAGGAGCGAAAGCAUGGGGAGCGAACAGGAUUAGAUACCCUGGUAGUCCAUGCCGUAAACGUUGGGCACUAGGUGUGGGGCUCAUUCCACGAGUUCCGUGCCGCAGCAAACGCAUUAAGUGCCCCGCCUGGGGAGUACGGCCGCAAGGCUAAAACUCAAAGGAAUUGACGGGGGCCCGCACAAGCGGCGGAGCAUGCGGAUUAAUUCGAUGCAACGCGAAGAACCUUACCAAGGCUUGACAUGCACGRGAAGCCACCAGAGAUGGUGGUCUCUUUGGACACUCGUGCACAGGUGGUGCAUGGUUGUCGUCAGCUCGUGUCGUGAGAUGUUGGGUUAAGUCCCGCAACGAGCGCAACCCUCGUCCCAUGUUGCCAGCGGGUUAUGCCGGGGACUCAUGGGAGACUGCCGGGGUCAACUCGGAGGAAGGUGGGGAUGACGUCAAAUCAUCAUGCCCCUUAUGUCUUGGGCUUCACGCAUGCUACAAUGGCCGGUACAAAGGGCUGCGAUACCGUAAGGUGGAGCGAAUCCCAAAAAGCCGGUCUCAGUUCGGAUUGGGGUCUGCAACUCGACCCCAUGAAGUCGGAGUCGCUAGUAAUCGCAGAUCAGCAACGCUGCGGUGAAUACGUUCCCGGGCCUUGUACACACCGCCCGUCAAGUCACGAAAGUCGGUAACACCCGAAGCCCAUGGCCCAACCGU
Molecule: ribosomal RNA, 1052 nt
Filed under: Cellulosimicrobium funkei
Lineage: Bacteria; Bacillati; Actinomycetota; Actinomycetes; Micrococcales; Promicromonosporaceae
Description: bacterial SSU rRNA
Rfam family: Bacterial small subunit ribosomal RNA
Source: RNAcentral